Molecule: long non-coding RNA, 718 nt
Filed under: Olea europaea subsp. europaea
Lineage: Eukaryota; Viridiplantae; Streptophyta; Magnoliopsida; Lamiales; Oleaceae
Source: RNAcentral
UGCUUUCAUCUCUAGGAUUAGAUUUAAUUUCCUUUUUGACUUCUAACUCCCUAUAUCUUAAAGCAUCAAUGACUAUAGCUUAAGUUAGUUUAUCCCUUGAGUAUUUAUUGCAUUUUUGACAUCUUUAUAUGAGUUAGGUAAUGAGUUUAAAGGAUUACAUCAAGGUCUUCAUCAUCAAAUUUCUUCUCAUUAUGUGCAAGGCUUUUCACUAUGAUACUAAAUUUACUCAAAUUUACCUCUAAGUCCUUCCCCGGGUCCAUCCUAAUGCUAAACAGAUUUUCCAAGAGAUAAAUUUUAUUGGUAGUGUUUUAGUUAAGAACAUAGCAUUAAGGACAGUCCAUAGGGCUCUAGCAGUUAUGGAUUCAUCAAUUUGUCUUACAAUGUUAUCAGACAAAUGUAAAAUUAUGAAACUAUAAGCAAUUUCAUUCAUGUUUUCAAUUUCAUUUGGUUUUGCCUUAAGUUCAGCAGAAAAAGUUUCAGGAUCAUCAAGGGCCUUAGAGACCUUGUGUUGAACCAGAAUGACUCUCAUUUUCUGCUUCCAUAUAGAGUAAUCCCUCUUUCCAUCGAAUUGAGACAAGGUGACCUUCAAACCCAUCAUGGGUUCUAUAAAAGGGUGGCCUAUGGCUCAUGGACAUAAUAUAAUCUUGAAUUAAAGAUCAACUAGUGAGUAGAAAAUGGUUUUGAAAUUUUUUUCAAAAAUCCAAGCAAAUAUAUAUUC